This 301-nucleotide ribosomal RNA is filed under the name uncultured bacterium. RNAcentral's name for it is "partial 16S ribosomal RNA". It matches the Rfam family "Bacterial small subunit ribosomal RNA", at positions 509 to 808 of the family's 1533-position model. The record is from RNAcentral.
CAGCAGCCGCGGGAAUACAGAGGGUGCGAGCGUUAAUCGGAUUUACUGGGCGUAAAGCGUGCGUAGGCGGCUUUUAAGUCGGAUGUGAAAUCCCUGAGCUUAACUUAGGAAUUGCAUUCGAUACUGGGAAGCUAGAGUAUGGGAGAGGAUGGUAGAAUUCCAGGUGUAGCGGUGAAAUGCGUAGAGAUCUGGAGGAAUACCGAUGGCGAAGGCAGCCAUCUGGCCUAAUACUGACGCUGAGGUACGAAAGCAUGGGGAGCAAACAGGAUUAGAUACCCCCGUAGUCCCUGUCUCUUAUACA